RNAcentral lists this non-coding RNA (27 nucleotides) under Mus musculus (house mouse). RNAcentral also lists the same sequence under 1 other name. Lineage: Eukaryota; Metazoa; Chordata; Mammalia; Rodentia; Muridae. The record is from RNAcentral.
UGUUCUUCCUAUCACACAGAAGGAGCA